GUCUGUCGGUUCCGGUGGCCUUCCAGAAGCCUGCUCCGGUCACCCUGUUAGGCCUUGUGCUGUUCCGAGAAGCAAAAGAUAGUUCACAAGGGGUUUAUAGAAGCUUACUUGGGAGAUCCCAUGGAUCAAACUUGUAGAUGUCUAGCUGCCUGAUAAGCUCAAUCGGAAGGGACUUCUGCUGGAUUUUUCUCUUGAGGUAGAACCUGACGAGCUCUUCAUCAGUUGGAUGAAACCUGAAGCCAGCACAUCCAUUGGUAUGGACUAGAUGCACACCUCUCUUGACUAUUUCACCUGCCCAACCAAUUCCAGCUUCAAGCAAAGGUUAGUCCUCAUCCUUUAUACUCC
Molecule: long non-coding RNA, 345 nt
Organism: Triticum aestivum (bread wheat)
Lineage: Eukaryota; Viridiplantae; Streptophyta; Magnoliopsida; Poales; Poaceae
Exons: 3
Source: RefSeq, a predicted model, not a curated record